Molecule: non-coding RNA, 45 nt
Organism: Schistosoma rodhaini
Lineage: Eukaryota; Metazoa; Platyhelminthes; Trematoda; Strigeidida; Schistosomatidae
Source: Rfam
AUUCAGCUGACGAAUUUUAAAUAGGACGAGACGCGCUUCCUGUAU